GUUGAUGUGACAUGAGCUUAUUGGGUCAAGCUAGUGACGUUAAAGAGGCACUUACUGGGAGGCAACCCAAUGCUCUAAACUUUUACUUUUUAAUUUUGUUUUUUUUUUGUUUUAAUAUGUGUUUUCUUUUAUUUAUUUUUAUUAUUCUCUGCUUGAAUGAACUAAACUGUUUUUAUUCAACUUUGCUCUAUAUUGUGUGAUAAGUUUGCUUUUUGAAAAUUCUAGUGUUUGAUUGAAGUUGAGAUGAUGCAUGAUGAUAAAAUCCCAAUUUGUGAGACAUGUGCUUGAGAUAAAGUUUGAUUAAAAUACUGAGCAAGAUGUUUUUCUGAACAUGAGAACUUGUGAGUUUACCUGUGUGAGUUUUGAGUUUCAGAGUAUUUUUAAUUAAUUGUUAUUACUUUGGA
This 404-nucleotide long non-coding RNA is filed under the name Vigna radiata. RNAcentral describes it as "long non-coding RNA (VRAD_LNC012575)". Lineage: Eukaryota; Viridiplantae; Streptophyta; Magnoliopsida; Fabales; Fabaceae. The record is from RNAcentral.